CUCCCGCUGCUCUCCCCUCCCUCCCUCCCUCGGUCACCCUCUCUCUCACUUCGGCGAGGGCUCCAACAACCGGCGAAGACGAACGAAACCCUCUCCCUGGCAUGCUCUCCCUCCCUCGCUCCUGUCUCUCUCUCUCACUCCGGCGCAAAAGACCUCUGGCCACGCGAGGUGAAAAUCGUUGGGUUUUAGUCAUAUCUCUCUCUAAGAUCCAGGAAGGCUCUCUGUUCUCUACCGGCGGAAGCUGAUAUUAAAAACGCCCACAAGUAUAGGUUGGUUGGGACUAUGGAGACCUCGAGCUGAGUGGAAGGAAUUUCAUGAAACUGUUUCAAUUUUAAGGAAUUUCAUUGUCUUAA
Non-coding RNA from Corylus avellana, 353 nucleotides. Lineage: Eukaryota; Viridiplantae; Streptophyta; Magnoliopsida; Fagales; Betulaceae. The record is from RefSeq and is a predicted model, not a curated record.